RNAcentral lists this ribosomal RNA (428 nucleotides) under uncultured bacterium. RNAcentral's name for it is "bacterial SSU rRNA". It matches the Rfam family "Bacterial small subunit ribosomal RNA", at positions 355 to 776 of the family's 1533-position model. The record is from RNAcentral.
UCGAGAAUUUUUCUCAAUGGGCGAAAGCCUGAAGGAGCGACGCCGCGUGAGGGAUGAAGGGCUUCGGCCCGUAAACCUCUGUCAUUUGCGAACAAACCUUAUCCGUGAACAACGGAUAGGCUGAUUGUAGCGAAAGAGGAAGGGACGGCUAACUCUGUGCCAGCAGCCGCGGUAAUACAGAGGUCCCAAGCGUUGUUCGGAUUCACUGGGCGUAAAGGGUGCGUAGGUGGCUGGGUAAGUUUGAUGUGAAAUCUCCGGGCUCAACCCGGAAAAUGCAUUGAAUACUAUCCAGCUAGAGGUUUGGAGGGGGGACUGGAAUUCUUGGUGUAGCAGUGAAAUGCGUAGAUAUCAAGAGGAACACCAGUGGCGAAGGCGAGUCCCUGGACAAAUCCUGACACUGAGGCACGAAAGCUAGGGGAGCAAACAGG